Molecule: ribosomal RNA, 574 nt
Filed under: uncultured bacterium
Lineage: Bacteria
Description: bacterial SSU rRNA
Rfam family: Bacterial small subunit ribosomal RNA
Source: RNAcentral
ACGGGUGAGUAACGCGUGAGUAACCUGCCCCUGACUUUGGGAUAAGCCUGGGAAACCGGGUCUAAUACCGGAUACGACCUGCUCCGGCAUCGGGGUUGGUGGAAAGUUUUUUCGGUCAGGGUUGGGCUCGCGGCCUAUCAGCUUGUUGGUGGGGUGAUGGCCUACCAAGGCGACGACGGGUAGCCGGCCUGAGAGGGCGACCGGCCACACUGGGACUGAGACACGGCCCAGACUCCUACGGGAGGCAGCAGUGGGGAAUAUUGCGCAAUGGGCGGAAGCCUGACGCACCGACGCCGCGUGGGGGAUGACGGCCUUCGGGUUGUAAACCUCUUUCAGCAGGGACGAAGUUGACGUGUACCUGUAGAAGAAGCGCCGGCUAACUACGUGCCAGCAGCCGCGGUAAUACGUAGGGCGCAAGCGUUGUCCGGAAUUAUUGGGCGUAAAGAGCUCGUAGGUGGCGUGUCCCGUCUGCCGUGAAAGCCCAUGGCUUAACUGUGGGUCUGCGGUGGAUACGGGCAGGCUGGAGGCUGGUAGGGGCAAGCGCAAUUCCUGGUGUAGCGGUGAAAUGCGCAGA